AUCUCCUGGAAAUCUUGUUAAAAUGUAGAUUCUGAUGCAGACCCAUUAGUCUGCAUUUCUAACAAGAUACCAGGUAAUGCUAAUGCAACU
RNAcentral lists this microRNA precursor (90 nucleotides) under Dasypus novemcinctus (nine-banded armadillo). Its description in RNAcentral is "miRNA (ENSDNOG00000038552.1)". Lineage: Eukaryota; Metazoa; Chordata; Mammalia; Cingulata; Dasypodidae. The record is from RNAcentral.